RNAcentral lists this ribosomal RNA (216 nucleotides) under Campeiostachys nutans. RNAcentral's name for it is "Elymus nutans partial small subunit ribosomal RNA". It matches the Rfam family "Eukaryotic small subunit ribosomal RNA", at positions 644 to 864 of the family's 1831-position model. Lineage: Eukaryota; Viridiplantae; Streptophyta; Magnoliopsida; Poales; Poaceae. The record is from RNAcentral.
GGGUUAGUAGGUUGGUCAUGCCUCUGGUAUGUACUGGUCUCACUGAUUCCUCCUACCUGAUGAAUCUUAAUGCCAUUAAUUUGGUGUUUUGAGGAAUUUGGACUGCUACUUUGAAAAAAUUAGAGUGUUUAAAGCAAGCUAACGCUUGAAUACAUUAGCAUGGAAUAAUGAAAUAGGACGUUCGAUCCUAUUUUGUUGGUUUCUAGGAUUGACGUA